AUUGAACGCUGGCGGCAGGCCUAACACAUGCAAGUCGAGCGGAUGAAGGGAGCUUGCUCCUGGAUUCAGCGGCGGACGGGUGAGUAAUGCCUAGGAAUCUGCCUGGUAGGGGGGGAUAACGUCCGGAAACGGGCGCUAAUACCGCAUACGUCCUGAGGGAGAAAGUGGGGGACCUUCGGACCUCACGCUAUCAGAUGAGCCUAGGUCGGAUUAGCUAGUUGGUGGGGUAAAGGCCUACCAAGGCGACGAUCCGUAACUGGUCUGAGAGGAUGAUCAGUCACACUGGAACUGAGACACGGUCCAGACUCCUACGGGAGGCAGCAGUGGGGAAUAUUGGACAAUGGGCGAAAGCCUGAUCCAGCCAUGCCGCGUGUGUGAAGAAGGUCUUCGGAUUGUAAAGCACUUUAAGUUGGGAGGAAGGGCAGUAAGUUAAUACCUUGCUGUUUUGACGUUACCAACAGAAUAAGCACCGGCUAACUUCGUG
RNAcentral lists this ribosomal RNA (484 nucleotides) under uncultured bacterium. Its description in RNAcentral is "partial 16S ribosomal RNA". It matches the Rfam family "Bacterial small subunit ribosomal RNA", at positions 30 to 507 of the family's 1533-position model. The record is from RNAcentral.